CUGCGUUCGAAAAAUCAAACAUCUGCUGGUGUACCUGUCAGCCAAAUUCCUACAGAGAGAUACAGAAGAAGUUGCAAAAUUAUUGUGCAUUAAAUGUGAAAAAUGAAUGCAAGCUAACCGGUCUCCAGAACUUCCGAGAUCUACUGGUUGAAAACAAGCCAAGGAGGCCACAAGUCGGCGAUAAAGACGCCUACGAAAUUUGCUGUAGUCGCAGAAAAAGAAAGCCUGAGAAUAUUCAAGAGGUGAAAAAGUUUACCGGAAGAGGAAAUCGAUCUAUUCUGCCUGAUUUAAAAUCCCAUUCGUACGACAAACCUACAAUUAUAACCCAAAAAACUCUGACUUUCGCCCAAAGACCAGCAAUAAUUGAAAGAAAAAAACCCAAAUGGCACGAGGAGCACGAAAAAAUGCUUAAAGAAAGAGCCAAAGAGCAGAGUUUGGAAAAGCAGAAAAUCCUUAUGCAGAAUCUUAACAAUAAAAGUACAGGGCUGGAAAAGUUUCAGCGUCUCUUCGACUUUAACAAAGCUCAGAACGUUCGUCGAAACCUGCAAUGGGAACAGAAGAAAGAUAGUCCUUAUCAAACCUCUUCAAGAACAGUGAAACCGGAAACGGAAUUGGAAACAGAGCAGAAACAUGAUAAGCAGAAUAUGAUCAAAAAACGUGAGGGUCUGGACAAGUUUCAGCGUCUUUUUGACUUAAACAAAGCUCAGAACAUUCGUGGGAGCCUUCAAUGGGAGCAGAGGGGGAAUAAUCCUUAUUAUAACUCUUCGAAAGCAGUAAAGACUAAGUCUGCUCAAGAAAAGAAACAUCCAAAAUCAUCUUCCGUAAAUUCGGAGCGAGCCUUUGUAAAACAAUUUGCCAACAAACCACGACCUAGCAAGGAUCGAGAGAAGAUUAGAUUUCAAACGCCAUUAGACAAAUACCAGGAAAGCAAAAAAAGAGCAGGGAAGCCCAUUGGAGUACAGAUCUAUUUGGCCCAAUGCUUGAUGAAGCAGCUGCUGCGGUGCCCGAACUGCACCCGACUUUAAGGAGCAGACACAACCUGGAAGUUGCCACGUUUGACCCUCGUAAACUUGACAAAAACUUAAAUAGCAAUUCUUUUGAAGUAAGUCAAAAAUCAGACCAACACACACUCCCAUUUGAUAAAAUGCUUAAGGGUAAAACCGCCAAAAUACCCGAGGUUAAUCCACUUCUAAAAUCAAAUAAUCGUCUUAAGGUUUUAACACCAAAGCCUUAUAGCAAUUCCUUUGAAAAGAGUCAAAAAUCAGACCAACACACAAAGCCAUUUGACAAAAUGCUUAAGGGUAACGCCGCCAAAGAAUCAGAGCUUCAUCCUCUUCUUAGAUCAAAUAAUCAUUUAAAAGUUUUAUCAUCGAAGGAUAUUACAAAAAUCAGAACUUCGCCGAAAGGGACAUCAACUAAGGUGGGAGCAAAAUUUUCAUGGGCUUUUAGGAAAAUUCUUCAGAAAAGACGACAUCCCGGAUCAAAAAUCUUUAAAGAUUUAAUAAAAAGCAGCGAUGUCGAUAUGCCCGAACGUGUUUCUAUUCUGAGAAGUGUUACUAGUUUGGCUGUAGCACAAAAACAUAAGAAAAAUCAGAUCGCAAAGAUGGCUGAAGAAAUGCCUUCUAUUCCUAAGAAGACACAUUCGACAAAAAAGCUAGAGCCAAAUUAUGGAUUUCGCGAUGCGGGAACUUAUAGAGGAAUGAAUGUAGGCUACACAAAACCAUUCCAUAAAAAGCUGAAGGGCAAAGAAACCACAAUGCCAGAACUCAAUCCGGCUUUGACAAGCAAUUUCCGAAUAAAAACAGUAAGUAAAAAAUCUUCUCCAUCAUCCAUCGAGGCGGAUUCUAUAAUUUCCGAACGAACUUUAAAAGACUUUAGUUUCUUUAAACUCAGGCCCGACGUUUCGAAACCUUUUAAGAACCGACAAAGGUCCAAAGAUCGCAGUGUUUCGCGACCUUCUCGAAAAAUACCAGUGGCCAAAGAAUCCCAAAUAUCAGGACCCCUUAGACUACUAAAGCGGAAGCAAAGACCGCUCGGGGAUCCACCUCGAAAAAACUCCAUCCGAGCCAGUAAUUUUGAUCAGACAUCGCUUCAGUCCGGCAUUCGAAGGAUAAAGCUCAAAAAGUUCUAUCACUACAUAAGAAACUCCAAGCCGGAUCAGAAAAUAUGGAUUAAAAUGAACUCCAAGGAUCCGAUUUCGUACCUGAAAAGCGAUAAGAGUUUAUUCUAUCGCAAGUCAAUUAGUCGAACAUCAUCGGAUAAGAACAUGCGUAUUUCCAGGUCUGUGAUCAGCUCAACGAAGAUUUCCAACUCUACGCAUCGGAAGAUGAGGGAAUCGAAGCAGGAGGAGGUGCCCCGAGAUGAGGACGCACACUUAUUUGACACCAAUUUGGAGGACAAUGAUGCGCAAAGUGGCAAGAGCUGUGAGAGUGAGGCGCUCAGAGAUCAGAGCUUGAGGGAUGAGGUGCGUCAGAAUUUCCUCAAGGAGGAGCGGGCUGCAGUGCAGGCACGUAUACAGGAGCUGAUGAAAGAGGUGGCCAUACGUGAGGACUAUCGCCCCCCAAAACCACCGAAGAAUUUUGUGACGGAGAACAUUCUCAGGCUUCAAAAUAGACGGGUCACGAAAAUACCUCAGGCAGUAGAGAAAGUAAAUCACCGAAGAAAGUUCCCCACUUUGAGUGACAUACUGACCGUGCCCGAGGACUCUGUAAAUCUUUCAAGAUUAUCGCAAGGAGUGUACAACAAGAACUUUGCGUCUCCGCAACCCCUAAGAAUUCGUCGAUAUUCCGACCAUUUGGGAAAGAGCCAGCUGGAUAAUAACCAACCUGAGGUUAAGGAAACACCCAUGGCAGAUAAUGUUUGUGAGUUGACUGAACGGAGGAAAUGUGACUGCUACGUCUGCGGUUUGUUUUCACAAGGCAAAGACCAAAAGGACUCGGAUUUCAUUCAGAAAGCAAAGGCCCAAAGGCGUCGAUGUGAACUUCGUGCUUAUUACCAUAAAUUGCGAAGAAGGGAACGUGAAGAGGGGAUAUUGUGCCCAACAAAAUGCUUAAACCUGGAUUAUGAGACCAUAGUCCCAAGAGCGGAAAUGAAUCUAGGGAAUGUCAUGGAGGAAAAACCAGGCACCUUAUGAUAAUCCGUAGAUGUAUUAUCGCUACAGGACUUUUUAUGCUUCUCAAGACCAUAAAAUGUAACAUGCCUUCUUAUUGGUUCUAUCAACAAAAUUUCCUUUGAGCGAUGAAUAUUUUAAGUGCUUUGAAGACAAAGAAGCUAAACCUGCAGAACACCUGCACUUCCUACUAUGACUUCUUGACUUGCGGCAACAACUGUCUGGACUCCUUGAGG
Drosophila gunungcola (fruit fly) is the source of this 3345-nucleotide RNA transcript. RefSeq lists it as uncharacterized. Lineage: Eukaryota; Metazoa; Arthropoda; Insecta; Diptera; Drosophilidae. The transcript has 4 exons. The record is from RefSeq and is a predicted model, not a curated record.